Molecule: non-coding RNA, 978 nt
Filed under: Pan troglodytes (chimpanzee)
Lineage: Eukaryota; Metazoa; Chordata; Mammalia; Primates; Hominidae
Source: RNAcentral
UUGAGGGGAGACGGAACCCUGAGCAGCCCAUGUACAUGGAAGAUCUUUAUUGCAGAGAUCUUUAAACCAGGAUCUUCUAAGGGUGUGAGGAUACAGGCGUCAAAGACCCCGUGCUGAGACAGCUCCAUAACAACAUGCAGAUAUUUGGCAAUGAGGAUUCAGAAGAGGACUUGCUGUGGAGAAGGGAGAAAAGAGGUGGGAAGACUCUGUGAAUGAAUAGAGAACACUCUGCAAGCAUCCCAGUUCCUUUGGUUGCCCUGCAGUCUGCAGGUACCAGGAAAAAUCAAAAGCCGCCUGGAAGGGCUUUCUGUCUGUAUGGAGUCAAGGCAGUGUCUUCAAAUCUAUGCUUUCUAAAACAAAGAAAUAACCUUGAUGAAACAAAUUUUCCCCAGAGGAAGGGGAGAGCCCACAGUGAGCUGGUAAAGAAGAUGCCUGGAGCAGGCGGCAUCCUCAAAUGGAAGGUAAUUGCCCUCAAAUCACUUAACUAGGAUGACCUACUUUGCUUUCCUGUAUAGCCAGGUCUGUUAUCAGACCCUUAUCUUGGGAGGCAUCGUGUCAGAGCCUGGGGCAAGAAAGGGCUGGUAUCCAGGAAUGCAGGUGAAAUUAUAGCUAUUAGCCCUGUCUUAGAGUGUGAGGAAAAUGUGCCCCCCUACCCCUGGCUAAGUUUGGGUUCCCAUGUCAUAAACUGCCUCCCUCUCUGAUAGCUCUGCAUAAACAUCCCAGGAACUCAAAGUAACAUUUGAUUUCCCAAAGAGAACAUUUGCAUUUGUAACUGUCAGAAAUAGGAGAGAUCAUCAAAGCUAAAUGAAUUGGGCUAUAAACAGUUUGAAAUAUGUCCUUAAAUUUUAAAAAAACAUAUUUUUUGUUUGUUUUGGGGAGAGAGGAUCAUUUAGACUCAACAACAAAACAGAAAACUGUGAGUGCCAUUUUGAGACAAGACCUACCUGGUCCUUCCCCCUCAUACUUUCUGCUACCCUG